Molecule: long non-coding RNA, 333 nt
Filed under: Capsicum annuum
Lineage: Eukaryota; Viridiplantae; Streptophyta; Magnoliopsida; Solanales; Solanaceae
Description: long non-coding RNA (CANN_LNC020523)
Source: RNAcentral
GUAGACAAGGUUUUAGACAAGACUGGAAUGAAAGGUACGGGUAAAUGGACCGUUCAGCAAGCUGCUGAACUGUCAGUUGCUGCUCCUACAAUAGCCUCGUCCUUGGAUUCAAGAUUCCUUAGUGGAUUGAAGGAUGAAAGGGUGCAAGCAGCCAAAGUUUUCAAAUCUUGUGGGGUCAGCGACAUCCUUGUUGAACAGUCUGUUGAUAAGAAGCAAUUGAUUGACGAUGUCAGAAAAGCACUCUAUGCUUCGAAAAUAUGUAGCUAUGCUCAGGGAAUGAAUUUGAUAAGGGCAAAAAGUGCUGAGAAGGGAUGGGGCUUGAAACUAGGGGAG